RNAcentral lists this long non-coding RNA (1495 nucleotides) under Homo sapiens (human). Its description in RNAcentral is "HSALNT0335936". The record is from RNAcentral. Lineage: Eukaryota; Metazoa; Chordata; Mammalia; Primates; Hominidae.
GCGCCCCCCGGCGGGCGGAGCCCGGCGCCGCGGCCAGGAUUUCCCACCUCGCUCCCGCGACUCCGCUGCGGGUCUGCACACCCGAGGACUCGGGGUACUUAACCGAAACUAGCAAUCCCAGGCGGUACAAGGCCCUCCAUCGUAGGCAAAGCACUACCUGAAUGUAGAUUUGGGCCAUACGUUGGAAAAUAAGACAUGAGAGUAUGCUCCGAUCAACUUUUACUGUUCACUGGACAACUAUUUUGGGAAUUUGCAGACCUAUAAAGCCCAUCUAUAAAUCUCAAGCAUGUCCACUUUCAGAGAAGAGAAAUGCUGACAACCAUUUAGUCUCUGAGGACAACACUUUUAAAGUUAUACAGGACUCCAUCAUAGGACUGGAGAGAGAUUGGAUGUCAGAGUGAUUGAUGUGCUCCUACUGGAAGAAGGCAAACAUCCAUAUGUGAACUGCCUGUGGGGUUUCCAAGGAAAGGAACGGCAGGCAGCCUCUAUGAGCUUAAAGAAGAUAACUGGGACUUUAGUCCUAUAACCUCAAGGAACAGUAUUCUGUGAACCAUCUGAGAAGCUUGGAAGAGGACCCCAAACUCCAAAUAAGAAGCUCAGUGUGUCUGACACCUUGACUGCAGGCUUGGGAGGUCCUGAGCAGAAGAUCCAGUUCAACAGUGCCUGGACUCCUGAUCCACAAAAACUGAUAACAAAUAUUUAUUGUUUUAAGAUGCUAAGUUUGUAGUCAUUUUUUAUACAGCAACAGAAAACUAAACACACACAUAAACAGUUAUAAGUGCUCACUGUAUAUGAGGCUUUUCAUUAAUAAUCUAUAUUUUAUAAUAGAAUUAGAAUAUAGAUCUGUGAAGCUGAAGACACUCAAUCCUUGCUAGAUUUAAAUCAGGAAAAUCAGCUGAGAAUCAUUCCUUGAUAGAACCUGGAAAACAAGACCCUAUGAGAGACCCUGGGAAUUACAUUAAAUUCACUGUGGUUCCCAGUGUCACUGAAGAGGUUUUCCUUUCAUAGUCAGGUAGUCACCAUACUGUUAAGCAUUUGAACACAUGGGCAACUUCCAGAAUAGUUAUGACAUUGAUAUACCAAUCUCCAAAAUUCCUAGAAUACCAUGUUUUCAUGGUUGACCUUCAAAUCAGUCAGUUCUUUGUAACAUUGAGCCAUAAAGAUAGGGCAAAUACUUAAUGUUUUACAUAUAUUCAGAGAUUGACCCUCAAAAUACAGCCCAGAGAAACUCAAAAGAAUUAACUCUAUUUCUUCAAAUUGUGUGACGCCACCAAGGCCAGAUGACUUCAGCAUUGGGAAGGCAAUAUCCAGCUGUCAUCUUCUUGAUCCUCAUAUGCUACUACUAGCAUCUAGCAUUUACUGAGCAGAUAGUUUUAUUGUCCAGUUUUUAAAGAUAAGAAAAUUGAGGUAUUAGGAAAGUUAAGUUGGUUGCCUAGGGAAACACGAAGAUAUAGCCCAGAUUCACUCCCAGGCAGGCAGAUGCCAGUGUCUGCUC